GGCCUGGGGGUGAGGGGGGGACCCUAAGCAGAGCCUGGGGGUGAGGAGAGUCCCCCAGGCAGGGUCUGGGGGUGAGGGGGGACCCUUUGCAGGGCCUGGGGGCACUGAGGGGUCCCCCUGACAGGACCCAGCCCAGCUGCCUGCCCUGUGCGGUGAGGGUCUUUGCCCGGUCUGGGGUGGCACCGAGGAAACGGAGGGGGAAAGAGCCCCUGGCUCUCUCCCUGCUUCCUCCUGGAUUAGACGCAACUCAAGAAGCCACUGCCGUGUUCAUGCAUAAAAGAUCAAUGGAAAUGAUUGCUUGAUGGGGUUUGAAUCACGCUGCUGCUGUGGGACUUCAGACAUAAAAGGAACAAAAGUAAAGCUCUUCAGCGAGGUAUGGAUCAGCUGCUGCGCGCAGGCCUGUUGUCACAACCCCCUGCCCAAGAUCCACCAGCAGAAGGUGCAGUCAGAGGUCUGGAGCUGUGUAUGGAGAAGGAACCUCGUUGCCGCUGAACGGGGCGGCCGAGAGCAGCCCUGGCCCUGCAGCCCGAAACUCCAGCGUGGCACCUUCCGCGCGUGAACGCGAACGAAGAGGGGCGACGAACGUGGAGGGAGCGUUGGCCGCCGAUACGAGCGUGUCCCGUCGCCCCUGCAGUGUGCAACGUGUCCGCCGACCGAGUACACCCAGACGGCCGCAGCCGAAGAGCCUGCCCCAACGAGCAGGACCUGCGAGACCACCCCGUCGCCCGGCAGGAGCCUCCUUCCAGCCCGGAGCAAACACAUGUGGAAAGCCUGAGCCGGCUCCCCUGCCCUCUGCAGCCUCCUUCCCCGGGGACACCAUGGACACCGAAGCCGUGCAGCCCCAGGAGGCCUCGCUGACGGUCAACGAGCAGGUCAUCGUGAUGUCCAGCCACGAGACGAUCCGUGUGCUGGAGGUCGGCGUGGACGCCCCGCUCCCGGCCGAGGAGGACCGGAAAGCCUUGGA
Molecule: long non-coding RNA, 964 nt
Filed under: Apteryx rowi (Okarito brown kiwi)
Lineage: Eukaryota; Metazoa; Chordata; Aves; Apterygiformes; Apterygidae
Description: lncRNA (ENSARWG00000016947.1)
Source: RNAcentral